UUACUAAUAGCAUAAAAUAAUGCAUUGAGCUUAGAACUCAAUAUAGAAAAUAGUAAA
Molecule: transfer RNA, 57 nt
Filed under: Fragariocoptes setiger
Lineage: Eukaryota; Metazoa; Arthropoda; Arachnida; Trombidiformes; Phytoptidae
Description: tRNA-Leu
Source: RNAcentral